Zingiber officinale is the source of this 1469-nucleotide long non-coding RNA. RefSeq lists it as uncharacterized. The record is from RefSeq and is a predicted model, not a curated record. Lineage: Eukaryota; Viridiplantae; Streptophyta; Magnoliopsida; Zingiberales; Zingiberaceae. The transcript is spliced from 4 exons.
GUUCCCCAUCUUCUUCUUUCCUUUCGCCCCCGAACGAGGGCCGGCCGAUUCGACUGCUUGGAAAGGAAGGCUUCGGGUUCCAGAUCGACUGCCCGAAGCCGAUCUGGUGUUCCAGAUGCGUCCAUCGUGUCAUAGAUUGCUCGGAUCAGAGGCGGAGGUCCGCUUCGGGUCGAGGGUAAGGGGGAGGACGUUAACCUAGCAAAAUGGGGGGUUGCGGACAACGGCGGACUUCGGAAACUUUGCGGAUCAGGUCAAAUCGCCCGACUCACGAUCUCUCAUCUCCGUCCUCUGCGGAAACUUCGGCGGACUCUUUAAGAGAAGUAUGAAUAGAGAGCCAUCCCAAAGAUGGCAACAAGGAUUCCUGCAAUGUUUCUGCUCGUGAAGGGAUCAUGCAGCAUAAUGUAGCCGAUCGAGAGAAUGAGGCAUGUCUUGAGGUGGCCGAGAACUUGAUAUGUCACCGGCGAUGUUACCCCAAUUACCAAAAAGGUGCUGAAGUUAACCGACACAGCAAUCAAGCAAGACAGCACGAUGAAUGCCUGUUAAUAUACAACGAACAUGAAAUCGCAAGUCAAACAAGGUAGAAAGAAAAUGUAUCCUCUCGGCUGUUCCAGUGCAGGGAAUAUUCAUCAGCAAGCAUACCAGAACCAGAGGUUUGUAGUCGUAGGCGAACACGUUUUGUCCGGUGAGCAUCCGGUCCACAAAUGGGCCAGUCGCAACUAGAAUAGAUGCUUGGUAUGGAGAUGAUUGAUACAAAAGUUGCGUGGAGGAAACUUUCAACCUCUUCUGAAUCGUGUUCGUCAUCUGCCAUGCAGAUUUAUGGUCAAGAAAACAUGACGAGUACUGAUCCUUUUUAUGUUUUCUUCUUUCAGGAAAAUCUGAAACAGAAAGGAUACAAUUUGGCUAAUGCAUGUAGUGGCAAUCGCAAGAACGGAGACGAUGGAGCCAAGAAGAUUGAGGUUGAGAUCGGUGACCGAUGCAAUGCCGACUCCGAGCAGGAGGAGAAGCAAAGCCAGCUUGAUACUAUGGCUGCAAACAAAUUCUUAUUUCGGUAAAUUUCAAACACCAACAUAUCAACUCAGAUAAAAGUCUUUCCAGUGAACCUGAAAGUUUUCUUCAAGAACAGAGUCUCCAGCAGGACAGUAAAAGAAUCCAAUGGAGUUGAAGCCGAGGCUGAGGUUCAGGAAGCCAACGGAGGUGCCGUUAAGGAGGCCAAAGAGAACCACCGUCUUCGUGUCGAUUGAUUUGGACUCAAAGAAGCGGAGGCGCUGCGCGACAUGGAGCGUGCAGAAGGUCACCAAUAGAUGCCAGCUCGUUAGCGUUGUAGCUGAGCUGAAGCUACUGACCGAAAGGGAAGCCAAGAGUGCUCAUGAGAACUUUGUUACAUAUGACAAUCGAAACCGAGGAGGCAACCGAAAGAGCCAGCGAUCCGACCACACCUAGCUGGAACCCAGAACUCUCAACCAUCCUUC